RNAcentral lists this transfer RNA (75 nucleotides) under uncultured Acidimicrobiales bacterium. Its description in RNAcentral is "tRNA-Gln-TTG". It matches the Rfam family "tRNA". Rfam says of the family: Transfer RNA (tRNA) molecules are approximately 80 nucleotides in length. Their secondary structure includes four short double-helical elements and three loops (D, anti-codon, and T loops). The record is from RNAcentral. Lineage: Bacteria; Bacillati; Actinomycetota; Acidimicrobiia; Acidimicrobiales.
UCGGGGGUCGUCCAACUGGCAGGACACGAGAUUUUGGUUCUCGGAAUCAGCGUUCGAUCCGCUGCCCCCGAGCCC